This is a long non-coding RNA of Sciurus carolinensis (gray squirrel), 408 nucleotides long. RefSeq lists it as uncharacterized. The record is from RefSeq and is a predicted model, not a curated record. Lineage: Eukaryota; Metazoa; Chordata; Mammalia; Rodentia; Sciuridae. The transcript is spliced from 3 exons.
UGGGCGUUUAAAGAACCCUCGGAGCGCAGUUACCGCGCGCCUAGGAUCCCUCAGGAUGCCCAAGUGAAGAGUGACCACCCCAGGCCUGCCACUGACCUUCCCACUUUCCCGUGUCAUGGACACAUAAACUUAGCACUUCCUCCCUGAGCCCCGCACCUCCAGCACCUGCAGAAUGGGCUUAAAAACUACUUGGUGUGUGAUGGAAAAAAGGAAGGAUUCGUAGAAAUAAAUAAACCAAACUAAGGAAAGUGCUUUGAACCUAAGAAGAGAAGCAACUUUGAGAUACAGGUCUUGCUAUGUUGCCCACGCUGGUCUCAGAUUCAUGAACUCAGCAAGCCUCCUGCCUCAAGUUCCUGAUUGCUGGGACCAUGGGCUUGUGCUACCCCUGGACUACCUAUGUUUAUGACA